This 74-nucleotide transfer RNA is filed under the name Candidatus Zixiibacteriota bacterium. RNAcentral's name for it is "tRNA-Arg". It matches the Rfam family "tRNA". From Rfam's summary of the family: Transfer RNA (tRNA) molecules are approximately 80 nucleotides in length. Their secondary structure includes four short double-helical elements and three loops (D, anti-codon, and T loops). Lineage: Bacteria; Pseudomonadati; Candidatus Zixiibacteriota. The record is from RNAcentral.
GCCCCCGUAGCUCAGUAGGAUAGAGCGGCGGAUUCCUAAUCCGCAGGCCACAGGUUCGAUCCCUGUCGGGGGUA